UGUAAAGCAAAUAGAAUUCGGUUGCUUGACUUGACAUAUUCACUUGUUUAAUAUAUGACAUCGAAGUAUAAUCGUGUUGAAUUUCAUUUGUAAUAACGAGUGAAUUUUGUGUUUCUUCCAUAUUUAAAUAAUGAUGAUAAUUGCAUAAUCGUCCGGAGUCCGAUUUCCGUCAUCGGAUCGAAUUCCAUUUCCAGAAACAUAUUUUUGCUAUAACUUCAACGAAUCAACAGUUGAAGUAUAGGAAAGCAUCUUUCGUUGGUUUUCGAACCUCUGACGGAAAUCGCAUUCCGAACCUAUAAAAUAAAAUGAGAUCAAGUUGAUAAAAAUUGCAGCCGAAGCGGGAGAUUGUAUUUAUUAUAUUUAAAAACUGAAUUCCAUAAAACACCAUUACUAGCUGCGGUCGAAGAGUUUGUUCACGAGCAGGUUCUUAUCCACACAGAUAACCAACAAGUUCAAAUUCCAUUUAAAAGAAUUGGUGUCGAUGAACGUGAUCGCUUCGGUGCUGAUGCCUACCAGCGGGAAACCGUCACGAAGUACGUACAUCGUAAAGGGUAGUCGGAAGAAGCUGGUAUUGAGGAUUAAUCCACCGACGAACCGACGUGUCACCCCAUAGAAAAUAAUUCAAAUUUGCUGCCCACGACGCCAUGAUGAAAAAUCAUCGAACACUACCGCCACCCCUAUAAUGGCUCGCGAAGUUUUCGUG
Armigeres subalbatus is the source of this 703-nucleotide RNA transcript. RefSeq lists it as uncharacterized. Lineage: Eukaryota; Metazoa; Arthropoda; Insecta; Diptera; Culicidae. The record is from RefSeq and is a predicted model, not a curated record. The transcript is spliced from 2 exons.